RNAcentral lists this ribosomal RNA (291 nucleotides) under Cryptosporidium andersoni. Its description in RNAcentral is "partial 18S ribosomal RNA". It matches the Rfam family "Eukaryotic small subunit ribosomal RNA", at positions 466 to 784 of the family's 1831-position model. Lineage: Eukaryota; Apicomplexa; Conoidasida; Eucoccidiorida; Cryptosporidiidae. The record is from RNAcentral.
AGUGACAAGAAAUAACAAUACAGGGCCUAACGGUCUUGUAAUUGGAAUGAGUGAAGUAUAAACCCCUUUACGAGUAUCAAUUGGAGGGCAAGUCUGGUGCCAGCAGCCGCGGUAAUUCCAGCUCCAAUAGCGUAUAUUAAAGUUGUUGCAGUUAAAAAGCUCGUAGUUGGAUUUCUGUUGUAUAAUUUUAUAAUAUUACCAAGGUAAUUAUUAUAUUAUCAACAUCCUUCCUAUUAUAUUCUAAAUAUAUAGGAAAUUUUACUUUGAGAAAAUUAAGGUGCUUAAAGCAGG